This 254-nucleotide ribosomal RNA is filed under the name uncultured bacterium. RNAcentral describes it as "partial 16S ribosomal RNA". It matches the Rfam family "Bacterial small subunit ribosomal RNA", at positions 524 to 776 of the family's 1533-position model. The record is from RNAcentral.
UACGAAGGGGGCGAGCGUUGUUCGGAAUUACUGGGCGUAAAGGGCGCGUAGGCGGCCAGCACAAGUCAGUUGUGAAAUCUCCGAGCUUAACUCGGAAAGGUCAACUGAUACUGUGCGGCUAGAGUGCGGAAGGGGCAACUGGAAUUCUUGGUGUAGCGGUGAAAUGCGUAGAUAUCAAGAGGAACACCUGCGGCGAAGGCGGGUUGCUGGGCCGACACUGACGCUGAGGCGCGAAAGCCAGGGGAGCGAACGGG